Long non-coding RNA from Mauremys reevesii (Reeves's turtle), 788 nucleotides. RefSeq lists it as uncharacterized. The record is from RefSeq and is a predicted model, not a curated record. NCBI's taxonomy places the organism in Eukaryota, Metazoa, Chordata, Testudines, Geoemydidae. The transcript has 5 exons.
UCUAGUGGUAGCCCAUCACCAUGACCGAGUUUGAUCCCUGCUGCUUGUGCCAGUAGUGGGAGAGGGAGGGUUGUCAGAGUUCUGCAGAGGCAGUGUGCAUAGCUCUUGAGGUAAAAGAAAGCUAUACUUGCAGUUAGCUAGUGGAGUUGCUGAAGGAGUAGCACAGAGAGGCUCUGAAGGAAACAGCUUCCAGUUCACUCCUCUAAAGGAAAAGUUAUUGUUAUGAAGAAAAAAAAAAAAAGAGGAAAAAGUAACAGAUCCUGGCAGCAACCACUGCAAUGGAAGAGAAUUAAAGCAUGAACAACAGCUCUCAAACUAACAGAGCAUGCCCAGUGGGUUCUCCAUGGUCUUCUGAGGGAAUGCUGGUAGUGGACAGACCCUGAAAGAGGUGGAGUUAGGGUCCCAUAUAUACAGCACCAGGCAGCAAGUCCCACAUCAGUGUAAAGUUUAGGUAAUGAAAAAUGGACACUUCAGGGUUAAAGAGAGAACCAGGCCUAAGAUUUGAUCACUAUCUUACAGAAAUUUUACAUAGAAAAAUCUGGCUUUGGAAAAUUGAGCACCUAUGGAACAGGAUUGGUAACAUUUUGGAGAAAGGAAGUCCUAUUUAAAGAAAUGGUGCCUUGCCCCUUCAAUGAGGGUGGGAGAACUAACAUAUAUCACUUGACACUGAAAGCUCUGCCAGUGCAUCUUACUUGAAAUUACAUUGGAUUUAUAAUGCGACCCUGAUCCUGACUGGGAGUAUAGCAAGUUACCAUGAUGCAAACAAUCAAAAUAAAAAAAAAUUCAAC